Chelonoidis abingdonii (Abingdon island giant tortoise) is the source of this 100-nucleotide non-coding RNA. The record is from RefSeq and is a predicted model, not a curated record. NCBI's taxonomy places the organism in Eukaryota, Metazoa, Chordata, Testudines, Testudinidae.
AAACAUUGAAAAGCAGCAGCAUGUCUCAGGAAGUGCUGGGAAAAAGUGAGGUAAGAGAGAAGCUGCAUUCCUGGCAUAGUACCAGAUGUGCUGUGUUAGG